RNAcentral lists this unclassified non-coding RNA (238 nucleotides) under Hevea brasiliensis (rubber tree). The record is from RNAcentral. Lineage: Eukaryota; Viridiplantae; Streptophyta; Magnoliopsida; Malpighiales; Euphorbiaceae.
GUGCCAAACUAUAUUUCUACAAAUUUACAAACAUGCCACCACCAUUCCCUUGCAAGACAGCACAAGCUGUCAUGCAAUACCAUACAUAACUAUGCAUUACAUUGAAAUAACCACAUGAUCUUCCACAAUAGCUCAAAUAUAAAAAAAACUAGUCCAAUAGGAAAACAUAAAUCAGGCACAACAACCUUGGAAACAGGACAAAAAAAAAGACAACUGGACAUACUAUGAGACUCCGAAG